CACAACACUUCUUUACCCUUUGACCGAAACAGUAGAGGAGAGACAAAAUCUGGAACGGCUCUCUAUCAAGUUCUUUUUCAUGGACUCCCACGCCCUCCUUCUAUCCGGCCUUCUAGCUGGCUAGGCCUAUCUCCGCCGCCGUCGCACGGAACUCCGGCCCCGAGUAGUACGCAGACAACAAUCAGUGGCGCUCGCUGCUGCCGGCACCAUGACAUGUGCCAGCACGGUGCGGGGGUCUCAAAUUCUUUGAUGGCAGCGACCACCAUGGGCGAUGGCAAGGAGGCCUGCCAUGGCCGGCACCACUGAGAUCUCCUGAAGUGGCCUGGAGAAUCACCUCCUCCAUGGAGCAAUCCCCAUGAGGAUCUUCUCGAUUCUACCCCGAACGGCUCUUCUUCCUGCUCAUUGAUGCUACGGCCGGCCAGUUACGUCUCCUUCUGCUUUGUGUGCCUCAUCUCACAAUCAAAGAUAUUUGUAUGGAUGAUCAAUCGAGCAGGGAACACUCUACGCCGACGAGGCGCUCGAGUUGAAGCUCAUCAGAUACCAAAGAAGCGGGUUAGCUCUGCAGUCUGCACCAUUGAGCUGCAUGGGGAUCUGAUGUUUCAACAGGUUAAGUGACAAGCCCAGAGACUGAUGAUAAUGUUUAUAUUAAAAGGUCCAUGGUUCUUUGUUUGCAGUGGCCCUUGGAGUUUGUAUAUAUGUACAUAUAUCAGCUGACCUGAGCUGACUGUUCACAAAUUCCCCCAUUAUCCAUGCAUAGAAUGGGGUAGAAAGGUAAGCCACUCUUCAGUUCCACAAAUUAGCUUGGAAAGGUACAGCAGGCCCUUAAUUUCACAUGCAAACUGUUCACAGGUAGAAGCUCUCAGUCAAUGGAUAAGAUAUCCAGCAUACGAAGAGAAUAGAAGAGGUUAUAGGACAAUUCAUGUUUUCCGGCUACCAAUGUAAUACAAUUAUGGGCCAUGGUACAACUUUGGUUGUCGUUACAGCAAGAGGUCUAACAGACUAUGUACCAUCUGCUAUAAGCGGCACAGUUGGAAAAAAUGAGUCGUUGUCGCCGAGGUACACCAGUAGCCAUCGAUCUUGACAACAUACCAUUCCCCAUCCCGAGUUCUCAAAUGAUCACCACUAUUGAUUCAGUGACAGCACCCAGCAGUGCUUUCAGACUGCCAGCAACUAUUCAGAAAUCUGAACAGCUUUGUUUGCCUGAAGACACGGCCACCCCAUCAGUAGGCAACGAAAAUUCAGAGGUAGAAGACACCAAUUCAGACUUACAAGAGUUAAGCGAAUGCAGCAAACAAUAAAUUGUUUCAACUCCCAGCAACAAUCUUACAAGGAACACUUUUUUUUAUAACAGAACAUAGGCUCCACGACAUAGGCAAACAAAGGAAAAACCAUAAAAGUCAACCACCACGCCAUUGAAAAAAUGGUGGCUGCCUACUCGAACCUACACUGUCAACUCAUAGCCAGUCUAUUUUUUGCAGUGCACCUGCUGAGAAAAGGAAGUAAACAAGGAACUGUUUCCCACCUAACAAAAGGAGCUUAACUUACCAAGACCAAGAAUGCCAUUUAUGCACUACAACCACGGCAGUUCAGAGACUGGAGACAGGGAGUUCAAUUGAUGAAUCAGAAAUUAGUCGCCAAGUUGUCAACCUAAUUGGUCUAGGUGUCAUUCCAGGAACAAGUACUUCUGCCGUAUCACUCCACUAGAUGCUUGCUCAAAUGUUAUGAAUAGUUCUCUAUUAGUUGUCAUGCUCUAACCGAGAAAACUAAAGCCCGCAAUGCUCACAUGUUUAUGCAUAACUAAGCUGUGGCACCCUGGCCCCUGUCUAGCCAGGCUUUGUAUGCCAGUAUAUACCUUUUUUCCCAGUGUAAAGAUGCAUCAGCGCUGGCUGGCCUCUGCUAUGUAAUCCAAUGUAUACGUACGUAUGUAUGGUAGGACAUGAGCCUUCUUCUGCUGUC
This is a non-coding RNA of Lolium perenne, 1956 nucleotides long. The record is from RefSeq and is a predicted model, not a curated record. Lineage: Eukaryota; Viridiplantae; Streptophyta; Magnoliopsida; Poales; Poaceae.